UAGAGAUAAGUAAUAUUAAAAGAUUUACAAUCUUUAAAUAUUGAUGCAUAAGUAGUUUAAAAUAGAGCUAAAUGGCGAAAAAGGAUACAAUAGAGCAGACCCCAGCUAGUCUAGGAUUAAGACUUAGUUGUUAUUGUUGUUGUAUUCUAAAAAUGACAAGUCAAAAAGCAAAUUUUCAUUCGUUGAAUAAAGAUCAUCAAGAUGCACAAUAGGUACUAGUAUUGUAAAUGUAGUCAAAUGCUUGCAUAAAUUGAGCACUAGAUGCAAUAUGUUAGUUGUAAAUUAAAAUUAAGAAACAAAUGAAGCAAUCACGUUUGAGAUAUAAAUGAACAUUGUCCAUUUCCACAACACAGCAAAAUUGAUAAAAACCUACUACCAACGUAUCAUAUUUAGAAUAUAAAAUGAAUGCUAUAGAACAUCUUAAUUUCUCAAAUUUUAAGUCUUGCUUAGUUUUAAAAAAAAAAUAAGGAUAUUUUUUUUACACAAUAAAUUAGUGAAUUUUAGUAACCACAAAGGAAAACAAAAAUAAAAGUGAAAUUUUCUUAUACCUGAAUAUAGGUAUUCUACACACAUUUCAUAUGUUACCAAAAGGAAGUUACAACCUGCUAAUGACUUCAUAUGUUUACCAAAGAGAUUGUUAGAACUUACUAAUGACUCCAUGAAAUAACAUAUUUGAGAAACUGUGUCAUGGAGACAUUAAUAACUUCUAACAACUUCUGAUGUCAUGGAGACAUUUUAGAAUUUUAGUAGUUAACAAAAAAAAAAAAAAAAAAA
Molecule: unclassified non-coding RNA, 774 nt
Filed under: Hevea brasiliensis (rubber tree)
Lineage: Eukaryota; Viridiplantae; Streptophyta; Magnoliopsida; Malpighiales; Euphorbiaceae
Source: RNAcentral